Molecule: long non-coding RNA, 852 nt
Organism: Haemorhous mexicanus (house finch)
Lineage: Eukaryota; Metazoa; Chordata; Aves; Passeriformes; Fringillidae
Exons: 3
Source: RefSeq, a predicted model, not a curated record
CGGCUCCCAGCCAUUCCCGAAGUUUGGGCAGCUCGGGGAGCCACGUCCGAGCGCUGCCGCUCCGGCCGGCUCUGGGAGCUCCUCCGUGGGAUUAAAGCCGAGCCAAAGCUGCCGUUUGUUCUCCGUCACGGGCAGAACAUCUGCGAGCCACAUGGAGGAGAGUUCACAGCCAAAAACGCCACGCUGGGGCCAGGGGACAAGGGACACCAUCCCUGGGGACAUUCCGGGAGCAGACGGGAGGCAGGGCUGGCACAGCGGGGGAGCAGCCGCGGGAUCCCACAAUUAAUUUACCGCAGCAAGUGGCAAAUCCAGAUGUUUUCCUCGGCCCUUGGAUAAAUCCCUCCUCCUCCCCCUCCUCCUCCUUCUCCUCCUCCCCCCGUGCUGGGAACACCGAGGUCGUGGCCCGCGGUCCCCGAGCCCCGUCCCUGCAACCCCCGUGUCCCGGUGCCAGCCUGGGAACCAUCCCGGGAAAUCCCCCAGCCCUGGAGGAGCCCGUCCCACCCAGCCGGGCUCCGGCUGCUCCGGGCUCCCGGCGCUCCCGGCAGGCGGGACGGGCACAGCCCGGGAGCUGCGGCUCCAAGUGGAGCACCGGGAGCCCUCAGGAGCACCGGGAGCAGCCCCGGGAGCCCUCAGGAGCACCGGGAGCAGCCCCGGGAGCUCUCAGGAGCACCGGGAGCAGCCCCGGGAGCCCUCAGGAGCACCGGGAGCAGCCCCGGGAGCCCUCAGGAGCACCGGGAGCAGCCCCGGGAGCCCUCGGAGCUGUUUUGAGUUCGGGGUAAAAAAACCCUUCCCUGGGUUUGGGCAGCCGGGAACCUCCCACCCGCCUCUCCCUGAAUCCAGCCUUGCUCAGCC